GAGAUCAGUGGUAGAGCAUCUGCCUUGCAAGCAGAAAGUCCCAGGUUCAACCCUUAGCAACUCCA
Non-coding RNA from Podarcis lilfordi (Lilford's wall lizard), 65 nucleotides. The record is from the annotation of a GenBank genome assembly. Lineage: Eukaryota; Metazoa; Chordata; Lepidosauria; Squamata; Lacertidae.